RNAcentral lists this ribosomal RNA (99 nucleotides) under Tylopilus felleus. RNAcentral describes it as "partial 5.8S ribosomal RNA". It matches the Rfam family "5.8S ribosomal RNA", at positions 57 to 154 of the family's 154-position model. From Rfam's summary of the family: 5.8S ribosomal RNA (5.8S rRNA) is a component of the large subunit of the eukaryotic ribosome. It is transcribed by RNA polymerase I as part of the 45S precursor that also contains 18S and 28S rRNA. The record is from RNAcentral. Lineage: Eukaryota; Fungi; Basidiomycota; Agaricomycetes; Boletales; Boletaceae.
GAUAAGUAUGUGAAUUGCAGAUUUUCAGUGAAUCAUCGAAUCUUUGAACGCACCUUGCGCUCCUUGGUAUUCCGAGGAGCAUGCCUGUUUGAGUGUCAU